UACGAGAGGACCGGGAUGGACUGGCCGCUGGUGUAUCUGUUGUCUUACCAAAGGCAUAGCAGAGUAGCCAAGCCGGGAAGGGAUAAACGCUGAAGGCAUCUAAGCGUGAAGCCCCCCUCAAGAUGAGAUAUCUCAUAACGUCAAGUUAGUAAGACCCCUUGAAGACGACGAGGUAGAUAGGGCAGAGGUGGAAGUGUGGUAACACAUGGAGCUGACUGUUACUAAUAGGUCGAGGGCAUAACCAAA
RNAcentral lists this ribosomal RNA (246 nucleotides) under Ruminococcus sp. AF31-14BH. RNAcentral describes it as "partial 23S ribosomal RNA". It matches the Rfam family "Bacterial large subunit ribosomal RNA", at positions 2682 to 2925 of the family's 2925-position model. The record is from RNAcentral. Lineage: Bacteria; Bacillati; Bacillota; Clostridia; Eubacteriales; Oscillospiraceae.